This 480-nucleotide ribosomal RNA is filed under the name uncultured bacterium. RNAcentral's name for it is "partial 16S ribosomal RNA". It matches the Rfam family "Bacterial small subunit ribosomal RNA", at positions 30 to 507 of the family's 1533-position model. The record is from RNAcentral.
AUUGAACGCUGGCGGCAGGCUUAACACAUGCAAGUCGAACGAUGACUCUCUAGCUUGCUAGAGAUGAUUAGUCGCGGACGGGUGAGUAACAUUUAGGAAUCUACCUAGUAGUGGGGGAUAGCUCGGGGAAACUCGAAUUAAUACCGCAUACGACCUACGGGUGAAAGGGGGCGCAAGCUCUUGCUAUUAGAUGAGCCUAAAUCAGAUUAGCUAGUUGGUGGGGUAAAGGCCCACCAAGGCGACGAUCUGUAACUGGUCUGAGAGGAUGAUCAGUCACACCGGAACUGAGACACGGUCCGGACUCCUACGGGAGGCAGCAGUGGGGAAUAUUGGACAAUGGGGGCAACCCUGAUCCAGCCAUGCCGCGUGUGUGAAGAAGGCCUUUUGGUUGUAAAGCACUUUAAGCAGGGAGGAGAGGCUAAUGGUUAAUACCCAUUAGAUUAGACGUUACCUGCAGAAUAAGCACCGGCUAACUCUGUG